GACGAACGCUGGCGGCGCGCUUUAUACAUGCAAGUCGAACGUGAAGCUCGGAGCUUGCUCCGGGUGGAAAGUGGCGAACGGGUGAGUAUCACGUGAGAAACCUGCCCCGAAGACCGGGAUAACACCGGGAAACCGGUGCUAAUACCGGAUGCCCUCACCGGAUCGCAUGGUCUGGUGAGGAAAUGGAUUCCGCUUCGGGAUGGUCUCGCGGCCUAUCAGCUUGUUGGUGGGGUAANGGCCCACCAAGGCUUCGACGGGUAGCUGGUCUGAGAGGAUGUCCAGCCACACUGGGACUGAGACACGGCCCAGACUCCUACGGGAGGCAGCAGUAGGGAAUCUUGCACAAUGGACGAAAGUCUGAUGCAGCGACGCCGCGUGUGGGAUGACUG
Molecule: ribosomal RNA, 389 nt
Filed under: uncultured bacterium
Lineage: Bacteria
Description: bacterial SSU rRNA
Rfam family: Bacterial small subunit ribosomal RNA
Source: RNAcentral